RNAcentral lists this ribosomal RNA (615 nucleotides) under Eulimnogammarus verrucosus. RNAcentral's name for it is "SSU rRNA". It matches the Rfam family "Eukaryotic small subunit ribosomal RNA", at positions 17 to 548 of the family's 1831-position model. The record is from RNAcentral. Lineage: Eukaryota; Metazoa; Arthropoda; Malacostraca; Amphipoda; Eulimnogammaridae.
CCAGUAGUCAUAUGCUUGUCUCAAAGAUUAAGCCAUGCAUGUCUAAGUCCAAGCUGUGUUCACACGGCGAGACCGCGGACGGCUCAUUAAAUCAGUCGUGGUCCAAAUGGGCCAGUGCAAAUCCUACUUGGAUAACUGUGGUAAUUCCAGAGCUAAUACAUGCAACUGAUAUCCCGAAGGCGGUGUUUGGGCUUGCUUGCCUUGCGCUGCGCUGCUCUGACGGAUGCUUUUAUUAGACCAAGCCGCUGAGGACUUGAGGGUUCGCGCUCUCUUGUCUGACUCGUGUGAUGGUGACUCUGGAUAACCAAAUUCUGACAAGCGCACGUACUUCUCUUCUGAGCGAGACGGCGCUGCCACUUUCGAGUGUCUGCCUUAUCAGCUAUCAACCGUUCGUUAUGCGCGACCGAUGGCUUUGACGGGUAACGGGGAAUCAGGGUUCGAUUCCGGAGAGGCAGCCUGAGAGACGGCUACCACGUCCAAGGACGGCAGCAGGCACGCAAAUUACCCAAUCCCAGCAAAUGGGGGAGGUAGUGACGAAAUCUAACGAUGCGGGCGCCCUUUCUGGGGCCCCGCAAUCGGAAUGGGCACUUUCUAAACAACCUGUUGAGAACCUAC